GGUGGCUCAGUGGUAGAGUGCUUGCCUUGCAUGCAUGAGGCCCUGGGUUUGAUUCUCCCCAGCACCA
Molecule: transfer RNA, 67 nt
Filed under: Dipodomys ordii (Ord's kangaroo rat)
Lineage: Eukaryota; Metazoa; Chordata; Mammalia; Rodentia; Heteromyidae
Rfam family: tRNA
About the family: Transfer RNA (tRNA) molecules are approximately 80 nucleotides in length. Their secondary structure includes four short double-helical elements and three loops (D, anti-codon, and T loops).
Source: Rfam by way of RNAcentral